UGUUUAUACAGGAGUUUCCUCCCAUAUUCCUUCUCCCAUUUUUCUGACCUGCUGUUUCUCUGCUCAUCAGAGAGAGAAGGGCCCUGAGCUGGGUGCUGGGCGAUGAACAGCCUGCAAGAGUGAGGGUCCCAGCCCCCAGUCCCUCCCAGGGACACAUGGAGAGCCUGAGAGGGCAUACCCAGCGGCUCUGGGGCCAGCAAGGAGGGUGACAAGGGAGACCCUGAUGGAUCAGAAGAGUCGGCAAGAGUACUAAAAGGGCUGCAUUUGCCUCUGACUUUACUUGGGGUGUCAAAUACAUCACAACAUCCAUUUUAAGAGCAGUACUAAUUCAGUGCCAUCUUAUCAUAUGAGAAAAGAGGAAAAGACACUGCCAUUUCACCCUCUCAACACCUCUUCCUAUGUGUUCCUUGAAUCCAGGCUGCUGUAUCUUGUUUGUCUACUCUCCUACGUAAACAAGGGUAAUCUUUCCUCAUAGGGGAGUGUGCCCAUGACUCCUCCACAGAACACAAAGGAGUCACAGUGAAGCACUCCUUUAUGCGCAACAGCUCCAAUCUCAUACAGUAUCAAAUGGUGUGAAGGAGCACAAGCCAAGGUGGUUAGCUUGAACAAGCCUGUGUGUAAAUAACUCUGGCAGAGGGCCCAAAGGAAGGGGAGUCCUGUUUGCCUGCUAAUGAACAAAUGGCUGUAUUUCCUGAAGGAAAAAUAUUUUUCUGCUAUCUUGAGAUUUCCUUAAAAAAAAAAAAAAGUGAUUUUCUCCACAUAAAGUAUUUCCAGAUGCAGAACUAACAUGCUGUGUGCAUCAACUACUUGAUAAUAACAUGUCAUCACUUGACCUUGGAAGAGGGUGAAAAAAUGAAAAAGGCAGAAUUUUCUGAAAUUAUGCCCUUUCAUGGGAACAUUUUUUAAGCCAGUGAAUCCUGGGAAACUGUUUUUUAAAUAAAAUUUGAUUACUUUUA
Agelaius phoeniceus (red-winged blackbird) is the source of this 956-nucleotide long non-coding RNA. RefSeq lists it as uncharacterized. NCBI's taxonomy places the organism in Eukaryota, Metazoa, Chordata, Aves, Passeriformes, Icteridae. The record is from RefSeq and is a predicted model, not a curated record.